RNAcentral lists this ribosomal RNA (254 nucleotides) under uncultured bacterium. RNAcentral's name for it is "partial 16S ribosomal RNA". It matches the Rfam family "Bacterial small subunit ribosomal RNA", at positions 524 to 776 of the family's 1533-position model. The record is from RNAcentral.
GACGUAGGGAGCGAGCGUUGUCCGGAUUCAUUGGGCGUAAAGAGCGCGCAGGCGGUUUGGUAAGUCGGAUGUGAAAACCCGGGGCUCAACCCCGGGCGUGCAUCUCGAUACUGCCCGACUAGAGGUAGGUAGGGGAGAUCGGAAUUCCUGGUGUAGCGGUGAAAUGCGCAGAUAUCAGGAGGAACACCGGUGGCGAAGGCGGAUCUCUGGGCCGGUACUGACGCUGAGGAGCGAAAGCGUGGGGAGCAAACAGG